AGCAGUCGCCACGGUAAUACGAAGGGGGCUAGCGUUGCUCGGAAUGACUGGGCGUAAAGGGCGCGUAGGCGGCGGCCAAAGUCAGGCGUGAAAUUCCCGGGCUCAACCUGGGGGCUGCGUUUGAUACUUGGUUGCUUGAGUGGGGAAGAGGGUCGUGGAAUUCCCAGUGUAGAGGUGAAAUUCGUAGAUAUUGGGAAGAACACCGGUGGCGAAGGCGGCGACCUGGUCCUUUACUGACGCUGAGGCGCGAAAGCGUGGGGAGCGAACAGGAUUAGAUACCCCAGUAGUCCCUGUCUCUUAUAA
This 303-nucleotide ribosomal RNA is filed under the name uncultured bacterium. RNAcentral describes it as "partial 16S ribosomal RNA". It matches the Rfam family "Bacterial small subunit ribosomal RNA", at positions 507 to 809 of the family's 1533-position model. The record is from RNAcentral.